This 854-nucleotide ribosomal RNA is filed under the name Fusarium xylarioides. Its description in RNAcentral is "LSU rRNA". It matches the Rfam family "Eukaryotic large subunit ribosomal RNA", at positions 74 to 958 of the family's 3401-position model. The record is from RNAcentral. Lineage: Eukaryota; Fungi; Ascomycota; Sordariomycetes; Hypocreales; Nectriaceae.
AUUCCCCUAGUAACGGCGAGUGAAGCGGCAACAGCUCAAAUUUGAAAUCUGGCUCUCGGGCCCGAGUUGUAAUUUGUAGAGGAUACUUUUGAUGCGGUGCCUUCCGAGUUCCCUGGAACGGGACGCCAUAGAGGGUGAGAGCCCCGUCUGGUUGGAUGCCAAAUCUCUGUAAAGUUCCUUCGACGAGUCGAGUAGUUUGGGAAUGCUGCUCUAAAUGGGAGGUAUAUGUCUUCUAAAGCUAAAUACCGGCCAGAGACCGAUAGCGCACAAGUAGAGUGAUCGAAAGAUGAAAAGCACUUUGAAAAGAGAGUUAAAAAGUACGUGAAAUUGUUGAAAGGGAAGCGUUUAUGACCAGACUUGGGCUUGGUUGAUCAUCUGGGGUUCUCCCCAGUGCACUCUUCCAGUCCAGGCCAGCAUCAGUUUUCCCCGGGGGAUAAAGACUUCGGGAAUGUGGCUCUCUUCGGGGAGUGUUAUAGCCCGUUGUGUAAUACCCUGGGGGGGACUGAGGUUCGCGCAUCUGCAAGGAUGCUGGCGUAAUGGUCAUCAACGACCCGUCUUGAAACACGGACCAAGGAGUCGUCUUCGUAUGCGAGUGUUCGGGUGUCAAACCCCUACGCGUAAUGAAAGUGAACGCAGGUGAGAGCUUCGGCGCAUCAUCGACCGAUCCUGAUGUUCUCGGAUGGAUUUGAGUAAGAGCAUACGGGGCCGGACCCGAAAGAAGGUGAACUAUGCCUGUAUAGGGUGAAGCCAGAGGAAACUCUGGUGGAGGCUCGCAGCGGUUCUGACGUGCAAAUCGAUCGUCAAAUAUGGGCAUGGGGGCGAAAGACUAAUCGAACCUUCUAGUAGCUGGUUUC